AGAGUUUGAUCCUGGCUCAGGACGAACGCUGGCGGCGUGCUUAACACAUGCAAGUCGAGGGCGGGGAGCAAUCCCCGACCGGCGAACGGGUGCGUAACACGUGAGCGACCUACCUUCCUGCGGGGGAUAGCCGGCCCAACGGCCGGGUAAUACCGCAUACGCUCGAUUGGGGGCAUCCCGAGUCGAGGAAACUUCAGGGGCGGGGAGAGGGGCUCGCGGCCUAUCAGCUAGUUGGCGGGGUGACGGCCCACCAAGGCGGUGACGGGUAGCUGGUCUGAGAGGAUGGCCAGCCACAUUGGGACUGAGAGACGGCCCAGACUCCUACGGGAGGCAGCAGUGGGGAAUUGUUCGCAAUGGGCGCAAGCCUGACGACGCAACGCCGCGUGGAGGAUGAAGGUCUUCGGAUUGUAAACUCCUGUUGCCCGGGACGAAAAGCCUCGACCUCAUACGUCGAGGUCUGACGGUACCGGGUGAGGAAGCCCCGGCUAACUCUGUGCCAGCCGCCGCGGUAAUAC
RNAcentral lists this ribosomal RNA (515 nucleotides) under uncultured bacterium. Its description in RNAcentral is "bacterial SSU rRNA". It matches the Rfam family "Bacterial small subunit ribosomal RNA", at positions 8 to 526 of the family's 1533-position model. The record is from RNAcentral.